Molecule: long non-coding RNA, 265 nt
Organism: Anthonomus grandis grandis
Lineage: Eukaryota; Metazoa; Arthropoda; Insecta; Coleoptera; Curculionidae
Exons: 4
Source: RefSeq, a predicted model, not a curated record
CAAGGUCACUAGAAGGUCGAGACAAGGUGACAGGGUCGAAGAAAAAUUGGUGCAAGUGAUUUUGACCUCGCGGUUAAUUUUCAAGGUCACUAGAAGGUCGACACAAGGUGACAGGGUCGAAGAAAAAUUGGUGCAAGUGAGUUUGACCUCGCGGAUAAUUUUCAAGGUCACUAGAAGGUCGAGACAAGGUGACAGGGUCGAAGAAAAAUUGGUGCAAGUGAUUUUGACCUCGCGGUUAAUUUUCAAGGUCACUAGAAGGUCGACA